Molecule: RNA transcript, 1501 nt
Organism: Hydractinia symbiolongicarpus
Lineage: Eukaryota; Metazoa; Cnidaria; Hydrozoa; Anthoathecata; Hydractiniidae
Gene name: zinc finger CW-type PWWP domain protein 1-like
Exons: 7
Source: RefSeq, a predicted model, not a curated record
GUCUAUGGAAGUUAACAAAAAACACUGCCAAGGGAAAAAAGCAGAAGAUUUUAUCUGGGUUCAGUGUGAUAAUCCAAAGUGUAUGAAAUGGAGAAAGCUGCCAAAGGUUGUUUGCAAUGAUUUAUCCAGUGUUACGUGGUUUUGUCAUAUGAAUGCUGAUGAAGCACAUAAUAGCUGUGAUGUUAAAGAAGAAAAAAUGCAUGUUCCACGUGGAAGAACUGUUGUUUUUAGUGAGUUGGAAGUUGGAUCGUUAGUUUGGGCAAAGUUUUCUGGUUAUCCUAGGUGGCCUGGUGUGAUUUCUCCAGAUCCUUGUUUCGGUGACAGAAUACACAUUAUUCGUUAUGAUGAUGGUACAAAUGAUCCUAAGUACUACCAUAUUGAAUUUCUUGGAAAACCACAUACACAUGCCUGGGUGUCUGCUCGCUAUGUUCAGAUUUACAGUGUCAGCAUUGGUGAAACAGAGUUUACACAAAAUGCCAUGAAAAGAAAAGCUAUGAAAUUGAGUUUUCAAAAAUCAAUCAGUGAAGCUUCUCAGAUGUUAGAAUUGACUCAGGAUCAACGUCUUGAGAAAUGCAUAUACAGAUGUAUCAAAAUGGCUGAUGACAUCAGUGAACAAACAUGUUUUAAAGCGCAAAGACGAAAGCAUGGAAAGAAAAGUCAUGGAAGAUUAAAGAAUGAGAUUCUGAGCACUGGAGAUCUUAGGGAAAUGUGUGCAAAUAAGCUGUUUGUCAAUGUUAAUGGAGUCAUGUAUCCAGUUCAAAUGGAUCAAAAGCAGCAAGCCAUGUCUGUUGUUUGGCCUAACAGAAAUGAUGUUGUUAGUCCCAUCACUCAAGACACAGGAAUGGCUCUAGAAAAACAACUAAGUUGUAAAAAUGGUGUGGGAGAAAAACCUGUUAUUAAGAAAAAAAUGAAGAGAAGAGGAAGAAAAGGACACGGUCAGAUGCUUCAAGAAAGAAAAGGAUAUCUAAACCAAGUUAAUGAUUUGACUAAAAGUAGUCCAGAGAAGAAAAAUGGCAUGUCCAAAAGUGAGAAAACCCGAAUCGAUGUUGAAAUUAAUAGAAAUUGUGCUAUAAUCCAAAAUGAGAGUACAUUCAUGAAACUGUUCAAUACGUUUUGUUUGUCCAAAAAGAAUCCAACCGAGACUGUACAUAUCAGUUGGUACAAGAAGAGUGUAAAUUUGUUUGAGUUUUUUAAGAAAGUGCAGUAUAUGGGUGGAUAUAAACAGAGUUUUGCUGCCCUUUGAGAAACACAUUAAAAAGAGGUUAAAGAAUGGUACGUUACCUUCUUAAAUUUCCAACUUGUUACCCACGGUGUGUCAAAAAGACAAGGAAAAUUUCGAAUCAAAACAAUCAACAUCUGCUUUCAGCAGCACCAUAUCAUUUAGUCCAGUUUAUGCACCCCCACCAUCUAUAAAAACUUCACAAUGUCCUGUGAUAUUACCACUACCAAGCUCUGUGCAGUACAUUACAGCAACAAACAAAGGUGUUUUGAAAAAUGUUUU